UACGGAGGGGGCAAGCGUUGUUCGGAAUUACUGGGCGUAAAGGGCUCGUAGGCGGCCUACUAAGUCUGACGUGAAAUCCCUCGGCUUAACCGGGGAACUGCGUCCGAUACUGGAUGGCUUGAGUGUGGGAGAGGGAUGCGGAAUUCCAGGUGUAGCGGUGAAAUGCGUAGAUAUCUGGAGGAACACCGGUGGCGAAGGCGGCAUCCUGGACCACGAAUGACGCUGAGUGAGCGAAAGCCAGGGGAGCAAACGGG
RNAcentral lists this ribosomal RNA (254 nucleotides) under uncultured bacterium. RNAcentral's name for it is "partial 16S ribosomal RNA". It matches the Rfam family "Bacterial small subunit ribosomal RNA", at positions 524 to 776 of the family's 1533-position model. The record is from RNAcentral.